AUUGAACGCUGGCGGCAUGCCUUACACAUGCAAGUCGAACGGUAACAGGUCUUCGGAUGCUGACGAGUGGCGAACGGGUGAGUAAUACAUCGGAACGUGCCCGAUCGUGGGGGACAACGAAGCGAAAGCUUUGCUAAUACCGCAUAAGAUCUACGGAUGAAAGCAGGGGACCGCAAGGCCUUGCGCGAACGGAGCGGCCGAUGGCAGAUUAGGUAGUUGGUGGGAUAAAAACUUACCAAGCCGACGAUCUGUAGCUGGUCUGAGAGGACGACCGGCCACACUGGGACUGAGACACGACCCAGACUCCUACGGGAGGCAGCAGUGGGGAAUUUUGGACAAUGGGCGAAAGCCUGAUCCAGCCAUGCCGCGUGCAGGAUGAAGGCCUUCGGGUUGUAAACUGCUUUUGUACGGAACGAAAAGACUCUUUCUAAUAAAGAGGGUCCAUGACGGUACCGUAAGAAUAAGCACCGGCUAACUACGUGCCAGCCGCCGCCGUAA
RNAcentral lists this ribosomal RNA (498 nucleotides) under uncultured bacterium. RNAcentral describes it as "partial 16S ribosomal RNA". It matches the Rfam family "Bacterial small subunit ribosomal RNA", at positions 30 to 523 of the family's 1533-position model. The record is from RNAcentral.